Molecule: unclassified non-coding RNA, 1215 nt
Filed under: Hevea brasiliensis (rubber tree)
Lineage: Eukaryota; Viridiplantae; Streptophyta; Magnoliopsida; Malpighiales; Euphorbiaceae
Source: RNAcentral
AAUGAAGUCUAUGGUGCCAUAGAUGUAGCAUGCUUUGUAGAAUUGUCGUUGAGAGUGGACAAAAAGAGUGUCUUGGUAUCCUUGGAAAGAGCAUCGAUAAAAUACUGAGAGAUCUGAAGCAGAUCGAAGUGCAACUGCUUGGCCUUUCUGGGGACCUGCUGUGUUGCUAAAGGUUAUGCCGCGAGCGACAAAGCGAAGGCCAUCAAUCCCAGCAGUUGCAGAACUGUAGGUUGUAUAACCACCUCCAACGCUUCUGCCACUCGCUAUUAUUGUACUUCUCAGGCCAUCGCCAAUCAGCCAAAUAUUGUUAUUAUUGAUGCCAACCUCAAUAUUCUCCCUAUAAACACCUCUCUUCACAUGGAUAAUAAACCUAGUACCAUAUCUCCUCUUUGCCGCCGCAUCAAGAGCUGCCUGAACAGUCCUGAAAUGCCCCGAACCAUCUUGUGCCACCACCAGAUUUGCUUUGGCUGUUAUUGAUGAAGAUUGCAAUAGCCUCCUUUCGUUCCUCGAGAACCAUCUAGGAAAUCCUUCUGUAUUAUUAUCCUCUACGGAAAGCAAAACUCCAUUAAGAGCUAAGCUGUUGCUAAUGAGCUCAGAUAAAUUAUUGGACAUGAUUGGCAUGAUAAAAUCUGACACGUUAAAAUCUAACGACCCAGUUCGGCAAGUUUGGAUAUUGGUUAGGGCAGUGCUCAGCCAAGUUUGUGCAUCAAAAUUUGUACAGCCGUUCUUUGUUUGUAUACCUUGCAGGGUGCGGUUUAGUUGAACAAUGGUAUCGGCAUGGAGUUUGAAACAAUCAAUCCACACGGCUCUAUGGUCGUGACUUUGGCAUUUCGGUUUUAAUCUGAAGACCUGCCUUUGUGCACCAAGGGCUCUCUCCAGGGCUAAUUGGACCAUUAUGUUGCGAAAUUCUGACCGAUGGUUGGGUGCAAAAUGUUGGUGCCUUUGGUUGACGAAGUACUUGCAUGUUUCAGGGUGUGGUGUCUCAUUGCACCACCAGGCGAUAUUGCUAGCUUUAGAGCUCUUAGAUUCUGCACUGAAGAAAAUUGAAGACAGGAGGAAGAUGAAAAAAAUUGCCAAUGACCUAAUCUUGGUUGCCAUAGUUUUCGAUUUGCAAUUUCUGAAUGGGGUUUGAUUGUUGAGGAUUUUAUGGGUGGUCUCAGUCUCGUAGCAAGGGGUUUCUUUAAACAGUAGAAAGAAGAAAAGCUGUGGUAGUAA